This 484-nucleotide ribosomal RNA is filed under the name uncultured bacterium. RNAcentral describes it as "partial 16S ribosomal RNA". It matches the Rfam family "Bacterial small subunit ribosomal RNA", at positions 28 to 507 of the family's 1533-position model. The record is from RNAcentral.
AUUGAACGCUGGCGGCAUGCUUUACACAUGCAAGUCGAACGGCAGCGCGGGCUUCGGCCUGGCGGCGAGUGGCGAACGGGUGCGUAAUGCAUCGGAACGUGCCCAGUAGUGGGGGAUAGCGCGGCGAAAGCCGGAUUAAUACCGCAUACGACCUGAGGGUGAAAGCGGGGGACCGAAAGGCCUCGCGCUAUUGGAGCGGCCGAUGUCGGAUUAGCUAGUUGGUGGGGUAAAGGCUUACCAAGGCGACGAUCCGUAGCUGGUCUGAGAGGACGACCAGCCACACUGGGACUGAGACACGGCCCAGACUCCUACGGGAGGCAGCAGUGGGGAAUUUUGGACAAUGGGGGCAACCCUGAUCCAGCCAUGCCGCGUGCGGGAAGAAGGCCUUCGGGUUGUAAACCGCUUUUGUUCGGGAGGAAGUGCUCUGGGCUAAUACCCCGGGGGGAUGACGGUACCGGAAGAAGAAGCACCGGCUAACUACGUG